RNAcentral lists this ribosomal RNA (1136 nucleotides) under Haliclona sp. 4 JV-2020. RNAcentral's name for it is "partial large subunit ribosomal RNA". It matches the Rfam family "Eukaryotic large subunit ribosomal RNA", at positions 79 to 933 of the family's 3401-position model. The record is from RNAcentral. Lineage: Eukaryota; Metazoa; Porifera; Demospongiae; Haplosclerida; Chalinidae.
CUUAGUACGGCGAGCGAAGUGGGAACCGGUGCCCAGGUCUGAAAUCUCCGUCCCGACCCUGAGGGAUGGCGAAUUGUGGUCUGGAGAGACGGACUGUUCCGAUUGUCACUGCUCCUCGGCCCAAAGUCGACUUGGAACGGCGCGCCACAGAGGGUGAGAGCCCCGUAGGGCCUAGAAAUGGGAAGCGGCGGGACGAGGGUCCGUUCUCGUAGAGUCGGGUUGUUUGGGAGUGCAGCCCAAAUCGGGUGGUAGACUCCAUCCAAGGCUGAAUACAAGCGUGGGUCCGAUAGCGGACAAGUACCGUGAGGGAAAGGUGAAAAGCACUUUGAAGAGAGAGUUCAAUAGAGCGUGAAACCGUUGGGAGGGAAGCUCAGGGCCCCGAGGCGGUUGGGGCGUCGGUGCUCAGGCGGGCUGCUCUCGGGCAGGCCGUCGCAUUUGCCGUCGCCUUGUGGAAACCGUCAGCGAGAGGAGAGCUCGCCUGUUCCGCCAGGUGGAGGAGGUGGCAAGGGCUCGGUUUACCGGGCUUUUGUUCGUACAGCUCCUGCCUGUCGGCUGGCGUGGCGAUCCUCGGGUGCGAAUGUUGAGGACGUCGCUUCGUCCGAUUGGGAAAAGGUGCGGACCUCCCUCGGGAGGUGCGGAGGCGGUGUUGGGGACUCGUGAAGCGAGUGGAAGGGUGCUCUCGGGUCCUGUCUCACGGCAGCGGCUUCGACGGGCAACUUUGCUCGUUAUCCGGGCUCUCUGGCGUCGCGCUCAUGCUGCCGUGCCUCGGUCGCUGGCGUUGAGUCGGUUCCCUGUGCCCCGUCUUGAAACACGGACCAAGGAGUGCAAGAGGCUUGCGAGCCUUCGGGAGACGUCGGGGCUUCGGUCUCGGCGGUCGGGUAAACCCGAAGAGGCGUAGUGAGAGCGAGUGCCGAGCGAUCGGCCGGUGCGAGAACCAGGCGGAGACGUCAGGUGCAUCGCGAACCGAGCCUUAUGGUCACGCCGUGGCCGGCUUCGAGUGGGAGCGAGUCUGUUGCGACCCGAAAGAUGGUGAACUAUGCCCGAGCAGGGCGAAGCCAGGGGAAACUCUGGUGGAGGCCCGCAGCGGUUCUGACGUGCAAAUCGAUCGUGAGACUUGGGUAUAGGGCGAAAGACUA